UAGGGAAUCUUCCGCAAUGGACGCAAGUCUGACGGAGCAACGCCGCGUGAGUGAAGAAGGAUUUCGGUUCGUAAAACUCUGUUGUUAGAGAAGAACAGCGCAUAGAGUAACUGUUAUGCGUGUGACGGUAUCUAACCAGAAAGCCACGGCUAACUACGUGCCAGCAGCCGCGGUAAUACGUAGGUGGCAAGCGUUGUCCGGAUUUAUUGGGCGUAAAGCGAGCGCAGGCGGUCAAUUAAGUCUGAUGUGAAAGCCCCCGGCUCAACCGGGGAGGGUCAUUGGAAACUGGGUGACUUGAGUGCAGAAGAGGAGAGUGGAAUUCCAUGUGUAGCGGUGAAAUGCGUAGAUAUAAGGAGGAACACCGGUGGCGAAAGCGGCUCUCUGGUCUGUAACUGACGCUGAGGCUCGAAAGCGUGGGGAGCGAACAGG
RNAcentral lists this ribosomal RNA (429 nucleotides) under Bacteroidota bacterium. RNAcentral's name for it is "Bacteroidetes bacterium partial 16S ribosomal RNA". It matches the Rfam family "Bacterial small subunit ribosomal RNA", at positions 355 to 776 of the family's 1533-position model. Lineage: Bacteria; Pseudomonadati; Bacteroidota. The record is from RNAcentral.